Molecule: unclassified non-coding RNA, 3314 nt
Filed under: Leishmania donovani
Lineage: Eukaryota; Euglenozoa; Kinetoplastea; Trypanosomatida; Trypanosomatidae
Description: gene:LdHU3.16.2020(CDS-product:eukaryotic_transla tion_initiation_factor_4_gamma_putative)
Source: RNAcentral
UUACACGUCUCUACCGCUGCGAUACGCUAGGGUUAUCCGGCUUCUUUACCGAAGAACUCUCAUUCCUACUCGCUCGCCACGCCCCUCUCCCCUUCCCCUCCCCGCCGGCGCACUCACCCAAGCGUGCGUACAACACCCCUCGGCCGUGGGCGCACACAAAACAUUUGCACUGCAUCUUCUCUCAAGCACCUCCCCUGCCACCACCACCACCACCACAAAAGCUUGAGCACCACCCUCGAGGCUCUCACCAUCUGCACCGGAGCAUCAAGCCCGAUCUCCCGUUACUAUCCAGACACACGCAUACACGUACAGCCAUGCAGUUCACCGUGGAGCAGAUUCGCAGUGUGCGAAACAACUACCUUGAGCCGCCGUACCCGGGCUUUUCUCUGGAUGAAGUGGUACGCCGCCGCCGCCUGACGCAGACGAAGCUGGUGCGCGGUGAGAAUGCCUGGGUUGCGAAGGGCACCGCUCAGACGACGGAGGAGUGGGUGCAGCGACUGCUGCAUGGCACACUGAACAAGCUGACAGAGGAGAACAAGGACAUCAUGAUUGAUAAGCUACUCACCAAAGAGCUCUUUGCCACGGAGGAUAUUAUGAACAUGGUCGUCAACAUCAUCUUCAAGAAGGCGCUGGACGAGCCAGAGAACAGCAAGCUGUACGCCGGCGUGUGCCACAGCCUUGCCUUAUACGAGGCGAACGUUUUGCGCGAUGGCCACAAGGGCGAGCGACCACAGUCGCAGCUGCGCGACGCCAUUAUCAGCACUGUGCAGCACGAGUUCCGAACGCUCUCCAAGGAGCUGUCGAAGAUGGAGGACAAGUCAGAGGAGGAGCUCGAGUACGAGCGGUCCAACGUGAUGCGGCGCAAACGGUCGAACAUGCGCUUUAUCGGUGAGCUGUACCUUUGCACGGCCCUGACGCACUCGACCAUGUUCACCGUCAUGGAUCUGACGAUGCGCUGCAGCGACAAGACGGGCUUUCCCAGCAGCGAGAACAUCGAACUGCUCGCCGCGCUCCUCAACACAAUCGGCGAUCGACUAGAUCAGAACCACAAGAAGACGCUAGACCGCUACUUCACCUCCCUCGAGAACUUCAAUAAGAAGCCCGACUGCCCGUACCCGCCGCGCAUUCGCUUCAAGAUUAUGGACCUGCUGGACCUGCGCAAGCGCGGUUGGGGCUCAAAGCCGAAGCCCGUCAAGGCAGCCCUGCCGCCAAGCCACGGCAAGGAUAAAAAGUGCGCCACGGCCCCGCCCCCGAAGAAGGGCGGCCGUGACCAGGGCAGCGCCGCCGCUGCGUCGAAGAGCUGGCGCGACGCCGCCACGAUGAAGACAGGUACUGCGGCAGCACCGGCGUCUUCCACCGGUAAGGGGCUGAACGGGCGCGGCACGUCGAGUGCCUCGCCGGCAGCCAACACAACAGCGUUGUCCACCUCAGCGGCGGUCACGGUCGCUGCCACUGCACCUGCCGGUGCCUCGUUCCGCGACGAAGCGUCGCCGCAGGUGCCGCUCGUGAAGUUCGAGCUGCGUGUGGCGUCGAUGUUCCAGGAGUGGGUGGCAGACCGCACGAACGACGUCAUCCUCCACUGGGUAGAUCAGUUCAACACAUGCGACCGCUUUUUUGAGUCGGAGAGCGAACUUUGCGUGGCAGUGGCGCAGGAGGUGAUCCACUCGGCUUGCACGACCACCCGCAAGGACGCCCAGCGCGAGGCUUUCAGCUUCCUUGUCGUCGGGCUGUACAUGAUCGACACGGAGGUGUUCGACGGCUUUGCCAGCGCUCUCGCCUCUGCCAUCGAGGACGGCCUUUUGGAAGAUGUCCCAAAGUUUGGGGAGCGCUUCAUGAGUAUGCUGCGCCUCACCUCCACUGAGCAGGAGACGCGCGCCGAUGUGUACUUCGAUGCGGCGAACGUGCUGCGACUGACAUACAAUCGGCUGGAGAGCCCCGACGACUCCGCCGUGGAUACGUUGAUGUCCUUCUGGGAUCGCGUGCCGCUGCCGUCCACCGACGAGGAGAACAUGAUUCGCAUGGACCUUGAUGUUGUGUACAGCCUCUGCAACCCCGAGGGGGCGCAGGACGGGCUGGAGAAGCUGCUCAGUCGCAUUAUCCACUCGAUGCUGCAGAUGCAGCUGAUGGACGCGGAGGUGCUGGACGAGUUCCUCUGCUUGGAUGUGCAGGAGGGGGUUUGUGCCAAGGUCAUUGCCGACUACAAGGAGCGCUUCCCCAAAUAAUGCGGUUCUCGGCUGCCCGUGCCCGCAGCACCUUCUGUGCUCAUCAUUACCGUGUGCGCACAAGCUACUGGAAAGCAGUGGCGGAGAUGUGUGUGGCCGCAUGGCUAACGGUCAAGAUGGAGGAGGGCCAAUUGCCGUCGUGGCGUGAAGCGUCGCUUCUUUCGGCUUUUUCUCCGCACCCUUGAAGUGGGUGACGCGGUCGGCGGUGGCGGUGUGAUCGCUGGGACGUGUGAGCGCACACGUGCGCGCGUCCUUCUUUUUUUCUCUGUGCUUUUGUCUGCGUUGCGUAAUGGGUUGCCUUAAUCGAAUAAACGGCGCACCCCCUCCCUCCUCCUCUCCCUCUGCCUCACUUGCCGAGCAUACCACCGAAUGCCAGGAAAGCGUCGAAGAAAAGAAGCGACACCCAGCGACGAAUGCACAUGUAUGAAAGAAGAGGAUCGAAGGGGUGACGAGGCGUGUAGUGCGCCCAUCAGUGGCGAUAUUGGGCCUUUCAGGAGGCAAACACAUCAAGAUAGAGAGAGAGAAAGGAGGGGGAUGGCGCGCUCACUUGAAGGGAAGACCCGGGCUGGCGUCUGCGUGCGCGCGUGACGCUGAUGCUGCACAUGACCGCUGCACUGCUUGAAGGCCGUCCUCCUCCCCUUUCCCUGCCCCCUUCGUCCCUUGCUCGUUCUCGCUGCGUGGGCUGCUUUUUUCGCGUGCGCAGCAGCGGCGCUUCCCCCAUGCGAAGCACCAAGUGCCGCGCAAGGCUGUGCUGGGCGAAGAAGCGUGUUAGUGAUAACAAAGAGCGUUAACGAUCAUGAGCACAUGGACCGUGUCUCAGUUGCUGUGCUGUGCUUGCGACGCCGCGUUUCUUCUGCUCUGUCUUGCACUCUGUGUCUGGCAUCCCUGCCGCCUCUCCUCUCACUGCGUUGCCGUGGUGAUGAGUGAGGCGGGAGAUGAGGAGACGGAAAGCCCGCAUGAUCGGGGGCGGCGCAGGGCUGGCGGGCCGCGGUGGUGGUGGCCAUUCUAUUCUUCCCUUCUUCUUUUUCGUCUUUACCUUCGCGCAUUUUUUCUCCCGUGGUGGUGGUGGUGGGGACUGUGGGGUACUUCAAG